UGUCCUCGCCCCUAUGGCUUGAUAUGGAUUGUCGGUUCAGAUUUUCGAGGUGUUUCUGCUGUUUGGGGUGAUGUAUUACUAUUGUUUAGCUACUUGACGUUGUGAAUUAAUUAUUUAUGAAUUCAAUUAAUUAAUUAUGUUGGAAUUAUCAUUGUUGAAUGAUAAUGGUAUUGCUUACAUGUUUCUGUAUAUGGUAUGAGAUACAUUCAGUGUUGUUUUGUGUUAUUAUAUGAUUAUAUGGUGAUUAAUUAUGUAUUUGUUGGUGUACAUUUU
RNAcentral lists this long non-coding RNA (273 nucleotides) under Lathyrus oleraceus (garden pea). RNAcentral's name for it is "Pisum sativum (pea) long non-coding RNA (PSAT_LNC018003)". Lineage: Eukaryota; Viridiplantae; Streptophyta; Magnoliopsida; Fabales; Fabaceae. The record is from RNAcentral.